GACGAACGCUGGCGGCGUGCUUAACACAUGCAAGUCGAACGGUAAGGCCCCUUCGGGGGUCCACGAGUGGCGAACGGGUGAGUAACACGUGAGCAACCUGCCCUUGACUUUGGGAUACCAGCUGGAAACAGCUGCUAAUACCGGAUAUGACCUCUUCUCUCAUGGGUUGAGGUGGAAAGCUCCGGCGGUCAGGGAUGGGCUCGCGGCCUAUCAGCUUGUUGGUGAGGCAAUGGCUCACCAAGGCUUCGACGGGUAGCCGGCCUGAGAGGGCGACCGGCCACACUGGGACUGAGAUACGGCCCAGACUCCUACGGGAGGCAGCAGUGGGGAAUAUUGCACAAUGGGCGCAAGCCUGAUGCAGCAACGCCGCGUGCGGGAUGACGGCCUUCGGGUUGUAAACCGCUUUCAGUAGGGACGAAGCUAACGUGACGGUACCUACAGAAGAAGGACCGGCUAACUACGUG
RNAcentral lists this ribosomal RNA (464 nucleotides) under uncultured bacterium. Its description in RNAcentral is "partial 16S ribosomal RNA". It matches the Rfam family "Bacterial small subunit ribosomal RNA", at positions 28 to 507 of the family's 1533-position model. The record is from RNAcentral.